GGCCCCUUCGUCUAGCGGCCUAGGACACCGCCCUUUCAAGGCGGCGGCGCGGGUUCGAAUCCCGUAGGGGCUA
Molecule: transfer RNA, 73 nt
Filed under: Actinospica robiniae DSM 44927
Lineage: Bacteria; Bacillati; Actinomycetota; Actinomycetes; Catenulisporales; Actinospicaceae
Also listed under: 4 other names
Rfam family: tRNA
About the family: Transfer RNA (tRNA) molecules are approximately 80 nucleotides in length. Their secondary structure includes four short double-helical elements and three loops (D, anti-codon, and T loops).
Source: Rfam by way of RNAcentral